UCGAGAAUCAUAUAGGAGAC
This 20-nucleotide non-coding RNA is filed under the name Rattus norvegicus (Norway rat). Lineage: Eukaryota; Metazoa; Chordata; Mammalia; Rodentia; Muridae. The record is from RNAcentral.